RNAcentral lists this unclassified non-coding RNA (276 nucleotides) under plant metagenome. Its description in RNAcentral is "partial contains small subunit ribosomal RNA, internal transcribed spacer 1, and 5.8S ribosomal RNA". The record is from RNAcentral.
UUUCCGUAGGCGAACCUGCGGAAGGAUCAUUCAUAAUACGUGUUUUAUGGCACUUUUUUAACUCCAUAUCCAUCUACUGUGCCAUGUCGGGGUUUAUUUUUCUCUCGAUGUGAUCAGCCCCAUACAUCAAAUAUAUCUCAACUCUUUAUCUGCAAAAUAUUUUGCAUAAACCAAUUCAAAAUACAACUUACAACAACGGAUCUCUUGGCUCAAGCCUAGAUGCAGAACGCAACACAUCGUACGGUCUCCCGUCUGAACUCCAAUAACGCCUACUCA